AGAACGAACGCUGGCGGCGUGCUAACACAUGCAAGUCGAACGCGAAAGGGACUUCGGUCCUAAGUAAAGCGGCGCACGGGUGAGUAACGCGUGGAUGAUCUACCCAUGAGUUGGGAAUAACGGCUGGAAACGGUCGCUAAUACCGAAUACGCUCCGAUUUCGAACUUCGGGGGAAAGGUGGCCUCUGCUUGCAAGCUACUGCUCAUGGAUGAGUCCGCGUCCCAUUAGCUAGUUGGUGGGGUAACGGCCCACCAAGGCGACGAUGGGUAGCCGGUCUGAGAGGAUGACCGGCCACACUGGGACUGGAACACGGCCCAGACUCCUACGGGAGGCAGCAGUGGGGAAUAUUGCGCAAUGGGCGAAAGCCUGACGCAGCGACGCCGCGUGAGGGAUGAAGGUCCUCGGAUCGUAAACCUCUGUCAGGAGGGAAGAACCGCCACGGUGCUAAUCAGCCGUGGUCUGACGGUACCUCCAAAGGAAGCACCGGCUAACUCCGUGCCAGCCGCUGC
This 509-nucleotide ribosomal RNA is filed under the name uncultured bacterium. RNAcentral's name for it is "bacterial SSU rRNA". It matches the Rfam family "Bacterial small subunit ribosomal RNA", at positions 26 to 518 of the family's 1533-position model. The record is from RNAcentral.